Molecule: long non-coding RNA, 2775 nt
Organism: Acinonyx jubatus (cheetah)
Lineage: Eukaryota; Metazoa; Chordata; Mammalia; Carnivora; Felidae
Exons: 3
Source: RefSeq, a predicted model, not a curated record
AAGGCGGGGUCGAAUUUUGAUAACUCCAUAGAUUAUGAGUCAUGUUGCCAACUAGGGAACCACAGAGCACUUCAGUGCCUCCUUCUCUUUUAUUCAUUUCUAUCUAUCCUUGUUGUAUUCACCGGCAGUCACGAUAUCUUAGAUUCUUUGUAAUCUUUUCAGAGCAGCGUCUUAACUAUUACUCCAAGAGCUUCGGGGGCUAAUCAUCUUAUAAAGAUGAACUCGGCAAUCCAGCAAAAGCAGCUAGUUGGACUGUUUAUUUAUGUCCCUCAAAUGAGCUGAUUAUGAAUUCCUUGGAUGAGUCGCUAAGUUGCAGUGACUCUCAGGUUUUCCCAUCUGUGAGAUAAAGUGGAUGAAAUUCCUGUUUUGAUCUGUUCUUGAGCAGCAAAUCAGCUUCUGCCAUACUUCUACGCCUGCCGCCUGAGCUCAUUCGGUGUUCUCUUUGUCGCUGUCCAUUAUGUUUUCUCAGGCUGCGCUACAGAUCUGUUUUCUCCACCUAUUGAACCCCCCGUCCUCAAAACAGUUAGAAACUUCUGCAAUGCAUGAUAAGCCGCAUCUACCUAAUAUUAUCGACAGACUUUUUCUACCAGGAAAAGAAAUGCCCAAUGAAAGCAAAUCAAUGGGCCAUGGAAGCAGGUCUUCCCAGCAGUGACCUAAUCUGCCUGUUUCAAAAGAAGAGGUUACAAUGACAUGAACCGUAAGACGGGAGAGAGAGCUCGCUAAGCUUGAAUCCCUGCCCGUAUGCUUACCUGCUAGGUCACAUCUCUGAGCUCCAAUGUCCUCAUCUGUGAAAUGGUAAGAGCGAUAGUCACCUGACCUGGCGCUUCAGGUUUGCUGAUCGUUUUUAACGUAUCAUACGUGGAAUUUUUUGUACACUUUACAACGCUAUGCAAAUAUAAGUUCGCAUGAUUCUUCUUUCACUUUUGGCAGGACUCUAAAGUUAAAGCUGGACUCUUUUUCCCGUCCUCAGUGGAGAGAAGUACUAGGUAGGGAAGCAUGUAUUUAUCUAGCACACUGGGGGCAAGGAUUUUAUGGUGGAGUGACCUUGGCCGGCAUUUGGUAAAAUUGCUGGGUAGACAUAUUUUUGCCUUGGUUUGGAGCUUGUAAGAACACACCCCUGAGACAAAGAUUAGAAUGUCAAGAGUUCACUUGGGAAAUGACCCUAGGAAACACCUGUAGGGGGAUGGGGAAGUGAGUCAAGGAAGGAAAGGAGCCAAGGAAUGGUGGGUUAACAAGGGAGCCCUUACCAAGGUGGGCAAGCUGAGCUUAAUUCCGCGGGGGAGUAUGAAGCCAGUGUAGGACACACACCUCAGAGCUGGUCCAUCCCCAGCACAGUGAAGCCCGGGAACUGAACCACUCAUUCCAUUCAGCUGAUCGGUUAAGCGUUUCUCACUGGGAGGUAUUAACGCCACAGCACUUUCUACCCACCUCUCCUCUCCCAUGGCCAGAGGAAGGCUCUGCGGCAGGGAAUGACCACGGAGGGCCAGGGGCCAUCGUGGUGCCGGCAGUUGGAUGUUUAGCCACCGUUACAAAAAUAUUAAGGGAUUAGAGGCAGGGCACCGAUGGCAUCAAUCUCAAUGAUGCAUCAGGAAGUUUGGGUAAAGCAUCUUAAUCUCUGUGCCUCAGAUGGUGUUUUGUCUUAUUCAGUGAUUAUAAACAAUAUGAUCUAUGAUUUGAUGUUAUUAACACUGGUGGUAGGAGAGAGCAAAGACUGAAGAGGCUAUUGUGUGGUGAAGCACCUGGGUGGCUCACUCCGUUAAGCAUCUGACUCCUGAUUUCUGCUCAGGUCACAAUGUCACGGUUUGUGGGUUCAAGCCCUGCAUCAGGCUCCGUGCCGACAGUGCACAGCUACUUGGGAUUCUCUCCCUGCCUCCCUGCCUCUCCCCUGCUUGUAUUUGCUCUCUCUCAAAAAUAAAUAAAUACACUAAAAAACACCCCCAAGAUUUAGAUUGCUAUCGUGUGGGUCAUUUGAUAUCUGCCUCUCUACCUAGAUCUCUAUCUAUGUGCAUAUACAUAUGUAUAUGUUUAUUUAUUUAAUAUAUAAGCUGUUGUCUGUUGUGGCUAAGGAUCAGGUGUUCUGGUGAGAGAAACAAAAAUAGAAAACAUGUAAAAGAAGCACUAGAUUUUCAUUCCGGAGCUUUCCUUGUCAUCAACCGAUAUGUAAUCGCAGACAAUUCACCUCUCCUCGAUUGCAAAAUUAGAGUUUUGAGCCGAAGCAGGGACAAAAGCUACAUUUCAAGGCAUGUGCCACCUUCAGGAAUGAGGGGUGGCUGGCCAAGAUCACUUGGCUGAGAAUUAUGAGACUGUGUUCAGGUUCAUGGUAGAUGAGCCCGUCCUUGUCUACUUAUGUCUACAAGGAGCCCGGUCACAAUGAUUGUUACAGGCGCUAUAAACUCCUUUUACCCCAUUCUGUCCUAGCUUUGUUUUAUAAUCAUCAACUUAAAGAAGUUUCCACUGAAAACAGUGUGGAGGUUCCUCAAGAAAUUAAAAAUAGAACUGCCCUAUGACCCAGAAAUAGCACUAAUAAGAAUUUACCCGAGGGAUACAGGAGUGCUGAUUCAUAGGGGCACGUGUACCCCAAUGUUUAUAGCAGCGCUUUCGACAAUAGCCAAAUUAUGGAAAAAGCCCAAAUGUCCAUCAACUGAUGAAUGGAGAAAGAAGAUGUGGUUUAUAUAUACAAUGGAAUACUACUUGGCUAUGAGAAAGAAGGAAAUCAUGUCAUUUGCAGCAAGGGGGAUGGAACUGGAAGGUAUUAUGCUGAGCGAAAUUAGUCAG